UUAUUAUUCAAAAUUUGUUUCUUAUAUGAAAAAUUAUAAUAGUUAUGGAUUAACAUUAAAUCAUGUAAGACAUUGUGUACAUUCUAUUUAAACAUAUAAUUGCUUGUGUAGAUAUAUGCACAAGUACUUUUAUUCUUCUAUAAAUAGAUUCUACUCUGGAAUUCAACUUGCUCUGAAGCAAAUUGUUAGGUACGUUUAGUAGUUAGAAUAUAUUUCACUGUAAAGGCGGACAGUUAUUCCUUUACGAAGUAGUUUUUAUUCAAUGUGUUACAAAACAUUGAACUUUAUAAAUUAUUUUUGGAUUUAUUUAGUUUAACAAUGGAAUCUCAAACUUGUGUGAUUUGUGGAGGACAUUCAAUUCAUAAGUGCAGUGCCUGUGAAAAUGUUUAUUACUGCAGCAAGAAACAUCAAAAAGAAGAUUGGAAGAAACAUUCAAAAAUUUGUAAAUCCUUUAAGUUAGCAGAAAAUCCUUCAUUGGGUCGUCAUUACGUAGCUACAAGAAAUAUCAAAGUUGGAGAAAUUAUUCUACGGGAUGAUCAACCCCUGAUAACAGGUCUUAUGUACAACAGUGUCCCAGUGUGCCUUCAAUGUUAUACGGUUUUAAAUCAAGAGAUUGCAACACCUUGCGAAAAAUGUGGCUGGCCUCUUUGUCAAAAUUGUAAUGAACAUGGAUUGGAAUGUAAAUUUUCUUCUUCUCGCAGAGAUUCUAAGAUUUCAAUAACCGAAUUUGGCUAUCCCCAUCCGAGUUAUCAAUGCAUAAAUAUUAUAAGAGUUUUGUCAUUGAAGGAUACUAAUCCAGAAUCUUAUAAAAAGUUAAUAUCCCUUGAAAGUCACUGCAAUGAAAUAAAUAAUUCUAAGGAGUCAUUAAAUAUUGCUCAUUUUAUCAAGAGAUUUUUUAAAGCAGAUGACAUAUCGGAAGAAGAAAUUGUAACAAUCAUUGGCAUCUUCCAGGUUAAUGGUCACGAAGUUCCAUUAACCGAUUCACCAUAUGUAGCGGUUUAUGAAAUGGCAUCAUUACUUGAGCAUAAUUGUAGAGCCAAUUGCUCAAAAAGUUUCACUGAUAUGGGAGGAUUGAUUAUUCGUGCUGCACUACCUAUUACGAAAGGAGAUCAUAUCUCUAUAUGUUAUACUGAUCCAUUAUGGGGUACUGCAAAUAGAAGACAUCAUCUUUUUAAAACAAAAUUUUUUGAAUGUAUUUGUAAUCGAUGUCAAGAUCCUACAGAAUUUCAAACUAUGUUUAAUGCUUUAAAAUGCAAUAAUAUAAAUUGUUCAGGAUACGUAUUGCCAAAAACUUUCCUUGAACAGGAACAAGAUUAUAUAUGCAAAAUUUGUGAAUCAGUCGUUUCUUGUACAGAAAUUGAAAAAAUAUUGGAAGACAUUGGUAUACGUCUAUCAAAUAUGAAGAAAAACGAUAUUGUUAUAUGUAAAGAAUUUCUAGACCGAUAUAAAAAUAAUCUUCACCCAAAUCAUUAUUAUAACAUCGACGUAACGAUCGCCUUGGCUCAAUUGAUUGGACAACAAACUGGAGGAUUGGCGGUAAUCGAGGAAGAUCUUCUGAUUGAGAAAAUAAAAUUAUGCAAAAAAUUGGAUUCUUUGCUUAAAUUACUCGUUCCAGGUCACUACUACAUUGUGACGAAGUAACAAGAAAACUAUUUGUGUACUCUCUCGAAUGUGAUUCCAUUUUUACAAGGAAAAUGAUAUCGGUGACUGAUACACGCCGAUUUUGAUGAAAUUUUGUAUAAUUGUUUGGACCAGCCUAUAGAUUUUUCCUUUAUUUGGUGAAGAAUUCUCGAAAACCCUAUUCGUUCCUAUUCCGAUCUCUACGACGACUGAACGAAGUUGGACGUGCUCGUAAUCAAUCGUCUUACCGAUCUUACAACAUGCUUGGCUAUCGGUAAAUAGAGCUGAAAAUCGAAUUCGAGGUUUAAUUCUUUUUGAGUUACAUGCAGCUCUUGCAGAAUUAAGUAGAAGAUAUAAAAACGAGGAAACUAUGAUAUCAUUACUGCAGGAAUCAAAAAAAUAUUUAAUUGAUGGCUAUC
RNA transcript from Apis laboriosa (Himalayan honeybee), 2039 nucleotides. It is a transcript of the gene named SET domain-containing protein SmydA-8-like, with no coding region annotated. The transcript has 11 exons. The record is from RefSeq and is a predicted model, not a curated record. NCBI's taxonomy places the organism in Eukaryota, Metazoa, Arthropoda, Insecta, Hymenoptera, Apidae.